This is a long non-coding RNA of Suricata suricatta (meerkat), 508 nucleotides long. RefSeq lists it as uncharacterized. NCBI's taxonomy places the organism in Eukaryota, Metazoa, Chordata, Mammalia, Carnivora, Herpestidae. The transcript has 2 exons. The record is from RefSeq and is a predicted model, not a curated record.
CUUCUGCAGAUACACUUUGCCUGCCUCAUAGCAAUGUACUAUAAAAACUGUCUAAGUGGACCCUGAUUGAUUCUUCCUGACAAGAGUCCAUUCUCAUUCUUUGAAUGAACACUGGCUUUCCUCUGAGGACCCACAGUAUAAGAGUUAUGAGUAGUGUUAUUUCCCAAGAGAAUCAUGAACAAUGAAAAUAUUCCUAAUGAAGUCCUCCAGUGAGUCAAAGAAAAAAAUUUCCAGGAUGGAGCAGAGAGGAGAAAGAAAGGAAAGAAAAGUUAAGAUGUAGGAAAUUGGAUCAAGUUAGAAACACAGUCAUUGAAGGAAAGGAAAAUCAACUUUUCACACAACCAUCUGGGGAUGGUAAAUGUCCUUUGUACCACUUCUGGUGCCCGUAAAGAUUUCCAAAAUGAUCUCUCUGGAUUGCUUCCCAGCAGGACAUGCUACAAAAUAAACUGACCUGUGGUUCCCAACUACUAACAUAAGACUAAGUAAUUAAAAAUUGCCAUGAUUUCUA